This is a long non-coding RNA of Onychomys torridus (southern grasshopper mouse), 562 nucleotides long. RefSeq lists it as uncharacterized. The transcript has 4 exons. NCBI's taxonomy places the organism in Eukaryota, Metazoa, Chordata, Mammalia, Rodentia, Cricetidae. The record is from RefSeq and is a predicted model, not a curated record.
CUCAGCCGGUUUUCAGCCUGCUGCUCUUCCCAGCAGAAAUAAUCCUCACUAAAGCUGCUCGAGGUGGUUACCUUUCUGCGCACACAUAGUAAAGAAAGCCCUGGGUUCUGUCCACCUGAGAAGGAAAGAAGGAAGGCAGGUUUCCUGGCAGGCCCUUGACCUUGUCUCAGCAUCUCAGGUGUCUCUGUGAGUGACAGCACCACCUCCCUGUGAAUGCUGGGAAGAGCCACCUGUGGACACUGAAAGAGUCCUCUACAUCUGUAUCCUUACUCUUCUAGGUUAACUGCAUUUUCAAGCAAAAGUUAUAAUCAGCUUGACAUCUCCACACACAAAAAAGAAGACAUUUGUGAUGCAGAGGUACCGGUAAAUGAUGGUACAGAAGCAAUGAUGAAGUUAAUCGAGUGAUAAAUAGAUGGCUCAGGAUGUGGAACAUGGAUAAGCUGCUUGGAGAUGAACACCAGUGAGGAUAUAAAUAAUAAUUUACUGGAGGUGCCAAGAAGACAGAGCCACUGCUGGGUGAAGCAAAGAAGCAAAAGAAAGACCCUUCUCCUCUUUUAAUAAA